RNAcentral lists this long non-coding RNA (970 nucleotides) under Elaeis guineensis (African oil palm). RNAcentral describes it as "long non-coding RNA (EGUI_LNC005991)". Lineage: Eukaryota; Viridiplantae; Streptophyta; Magnoliopsida; Arecales; Arecaceae. The record is from RNAcentral.
CCUUUGUUCAUCCAGAGGUUUGGCCUGGAUGAACAUGACGGACAGCUCGAAAGAAGAAGCUCGACAGAUUCGGAGGAAUACUUGAUGGACGGCCUAGAGGAAGAAGCUCGAUGGAUCUGGAUAGAGAUCGACAGGCUUCUGGAGGUCCCGUGGGUUAUCUUUUGCUUCUCGUAUGACUCGGGCUCUGCAGAGGUCUGGUAAGUUAGUCCUCACGUGACGUUGUGUGCCUACGACGAUCUUGUGCCUACGACAUCUAGCACUUCUUAUCUUCGUGUAAGAGGUAGUGUGUGCCAGCGGUGAGCUUGUGUUUAUGGUAUCCUGUGCUUUUCGAUGACAUUCUGAGGGUCUGAUUAGUUGGGCCUUAGAAGAUUCUCUCAAGGAUUUUCCUCCACUUCUCGUGCGACUAGGGAUCUGUAGGAGUCUGGUAAGUUAUCCCCAUCUCGGAGUCAUCAAGAUCUUCUCGAGAAUCUCAUAAAUUAGGCCUCCAGAGGUUCCCUGAGGGUCUCCUCUGCUUCUCACGCGACUUGGACUCUGCAGGGGUCUGGUAAGUUAGCUCGAUCUUGAAGUUGUCGAGAUCUUCUCGAAGAUUUGAUAAGUUAGCCCUCUAGAGAUUUUCUAAGGGUCUUCCUUCGCUUCUCACGCAACUCAGACUCUGCAGGGGUCUAGUAAGUUAGUCCCACCUCGGAGUUAUCGAGAUCUUCUCGAGGAUCUAAUAAGUUAGCCAUCCGGAGGUUCUCUAAGGAUCUCCCUCUACUUCUUGCACGACUCGAACUUUGCAGGGGUCUGGUAAGUUAGCCCCACUUCGGAGUUAUCGAGAUCUUCUCGAGGAUAUGGUAAGUUAGUCCUUCGAAGGUUUCUUAAGGGUCUCCCUCGGUUUCUCGCAUGACUCGGACUCUGUAGGGAUCUAGUAAGUUAGCCUCACCUCGGAGUCGUCGAGAUCUUCUCGAAGGUUUGGUAGGUUAGCCCUCCG